RNAcentral lists this long non-coding RNA (322 nucleotides) under Populus trichocarpa (black cottonwood). Its description in RNAcentral is "long non-coding RNA (PTRI_LNC002497)". Lineage: Eukaryota; Viridiplantae; Streptophyta; Magnoliopsida; Malpighiales; Salicaceae. The record is from RNAcentral.
GUUCACCUUCUCAGGGUAGACACCAUCCUUAGGAUGCAAGUACUGCACCUCUCCAUUGGGGAACACCCUGUAAAACUGGUACUUGAUCUUGUACUUGGACCUUAGCCUAGUCCCGAGAGCCAAGCACUGCUCCUUCCUGGCCAGCUUGAGCAAGUUAGGGCCUUCCCUCAUGAUGGCAGCACCCCCAGUCGGCAUUUCAAAUAUCUGUUCCUUGGGGGAGUCCCAUGUAAUCACAUAAAACUCCUCCACCUGGGCUUUCCUCAACAGCCCACCAGUGCUUCCACCAAAAAUUGGUGAUGGGGUACUCGGGUCCAACUCAGGU